Brassica napus (rape) is the source of this 1382-nucleotide long non-coding RNA. RefSeq lists it as uncharacterized. Lineage: Eukaryota; Viridiplantae; Streptophyta; Magnoliopsida; Brassicales; Brassicaceae. The record is from RefSeq and is a predicted model, not a curated record. The transcript is spliced from 3 exons.
CUUUGAAACAAAAUUGAAAACGUAAUAUUGCUAUUAUAGACUUCUUCUCUACUUCCUCAAAUUUGAUAAAUCGAUACAAAGAACCAAAGAAUAUGAACAGCUCUUCUUAUGCGUUUUUUUUUCAUUAUCCUGAAACAAUCUUCGAUCUACACGAACCUAAAAGUCUCUUUCUUUUUUCCCAGGGGCAUCCAUGAUGAAGCUACAGGCGGUCCUCAGCGGUUUCAUCCUUACCUUUUGCCUCCGUUACUCCGUCUACGUCUCCUUCAUCAUCACUGGAGCUUUCUUCGGCGAACUGGCAGUCGCAACGCAUAGUCAAUAACAGAGAGUUGAAAAAAAGUGUACUUGCAAAUGCAAUAUAGGAAGACGGACAUAGGAAGUUGUUGAGCUUGGACAUGAGGCAAAAUGACCAAGAGAGAGGUGCAGCGGUGGGUCACACAUAAGUAGAAGCAGAAGGAUGAGAAAAUAAAGGCAGUAAGGAUGGGAGGGAUCACAAUCCAAGAACAACGAAGCAAUAGUUUACUGCAAUCUACAAGAAUGCCAGUAAGUAUGAGAAAAUAAAGGCAGUAAGUAUGUGAGCAAGUUUAGGAAGUCAACGAAGCAGCACAAAUUUUGUGAGAAGGAUGAGAUGAAGCGGAAAUUUUUUCAGAGGAUCAACGUAAACAACAUCAUGUAGUUUAUCCUUAAAAAAAUCACGAAAAGGUACUGACCUAUGCCAUGGACUUUAUAAUUCAGACAUACAUUUACAUUUUUCUCUUUUCAUUCUAAGUAGAAGACCAAGAGCAAAACAAAACAUAGCUUUGUGCUCAGUUAGCUGACACUAUAUGAAUGUUAAACAUCUGAAAGUUAUUGCAUUGUUUUUACUGGUUCUGAGGAGCGGCUUAUAUAACAAUGCUGGAACAAAUAAAAAAAACAAACUAUCAACCAGACCAAAGUCGCUGUCACACUAUCCUCCAGAAAUCUCAAGUUAUUAAAGCAAUAAGAGUUGCUCUCAGAGUUCAACGAUACCAUUAAGUUGUCUCGAACGUGUUUACAGACCUAGAGACGUCGUGAGGUGGACGUCGAUUAGGAAGAAGAAGAAGAUUAUGCUGCACUUUGUAUAUCCAUGGAGAUCUCAGUGUUGAGUUGUGAAGGAUUGAUGGUACCCCCAUCAAACGAAAUUCUAAAUCUAUUAUCUGUAAAGACUAGGCGCCAUCGGUCAACAUUUUAGCAAACAUAUUCAUACAUUUUCUUAAAAUUGAAUUAUAGCCUUUUACAAAACUAUGUAAUUACCAAAAAUAUAAUGAUCUUUGACACUCAAAGCCGUUAGUUGUUAUAGUUGAAGAAAAGGAGGGAUAUUGUAACCAACAUAGAUAAUUAAGUCUGCAAAUGUUAGCGGCUCUCUA